GUUGCCUGACGGCUUUAAAAAGGAGUAAACAUUCAUCCUGCUGACAUGGCAAUAAAACCGGUGCAUCUGGAAGAGAGGAGUCAGCAGCAGAUGUGCCCCUGCAAACUGCUUGCCGUGAUGAAUGCUCUUCCCAGAUACUGCUAAUCCCUUUUCUCUUGCUCCUAGGCCUCCUUAAUUGUGUUCCCUGUGAUUAAAUAACUCUUUGAAGACAUCACUAGAAUCUUGCACGCUGGAAUGUCGCUUGCCAGAAUUGAUUCCCCCUGUAUGGGUGCUGCCAGCUCAGCAAUGCACGAAGAAAUCACUGCUACAAACUGCCUUGUGCAAGCACCCUGAGCCCCGCCAGCCAAGACAGGUCACAGCAAUUGCUGAACACAGGUGACAUGGGCUAGAAGCAACACUUUCACUGUGCUGACCUACCUGGCUUUGGCUGGGCAUUGCCAGUGCUCGGCAGGUGACUGUCAGGAAGUCCCUAGCGUCACAGGUACGAGCUGGAGGUUGUGGCCAAACACCCAGUGAACACCCAGUGGUGGAAAUGGAGAGAAUGGGAGCCAGUAUGGGGAGGGGAAGAAGCAGCCUCUCAAGGCAUGGUGACAGUGUAAGGCGGCUGGGAUGCUCUUGUUGCUCCUGUUUUGGAAUAUCAGUCCAAUGUGUCUGGAGAGAAUCAGACACAGUGAUGGCAUCUGGCACUUCUGCUCCAUCUAUUCCUUGGUCUCCCACUGAGCCUGGUGUCGUGGGAUGCAAGCCAUGAGGGCAUGUUGCAGCCCCAGUUCUGGCACUGCUCUGCAGCGGCAAGGGGAAGAUGCUGUUUCAAACAUGGGAGCUGUGCAGCUUCAAGCCUUGAGCCCACGGAAGAUAAGCAGCAGCUCCAUAAGCUAUCCACGCCCUGCCAGGUACGAGGCCACCCUGCCAUCUGGCACCGCUCCUGGUUCGGUGCCUGGGAAAUAGAUAAGAGG
This is a long non-coding RNA of Aquila chrysaetos chrysaetos, 953 nucleotides long. RefSeq lists it as uncharacterized. NCBI's taxonomy places the organism in Eukaryota, Metazoa, Chordata, Aves, Accipitriformes, Accipitridae. The transcript is spliced from 3 exons. The record is from RefSeq and is a predicted model, not a curated record.